This 253-nucleotide ribosomal RNA is filed under the name uncultured bacterium. Its description in RNAcentral is "partial 16S ribosomal RNA". It matches the Rfam family "Bacterial small subunit ribosomal RNA", at positions 524 to 776 of the family's 1533-position model. The record is from RNAcentral.
UACGUAGGGGGCAAGCGUUGUCCGGAAUCAUUGGGCGUAAAGCGCGUGUAGGCGGUUCGAUAAGUCUGCUGUGAAAGUCCAGGGCUCAACCCUGGAAAGCCGGUGGAUACUGUCGGACUAGAGUGCGGAAGAGGCGAGUGGAAUUCCCGGUGUAGCGGUGAAAUGCGUAGAUAUCUGAAGGAACAUCAGUGGCGAAAGCGACUUCCUGGACCAAUACUGACGCUCAUGUGCGAAAGCGUGGGGAGCAAACAGG